AUUGAACGCUGGCGGCAUGCCUUACACAUGCAAGUCGAACGGCGGCGGGCCUUCGGGUGCCGGCGAGUGGCGAACGGGUGAGUAAUGCAUCGGAACGUGCCAUUGAGUGGGGGAUAACGUAGCGAAAGUUACGCUAAUACCGCAUAUUCUGUGAGCAGGAAAGCAGGGGACCGCAAGGCCUUGCGCUCUUUGAGCGGCCGAUGUCAGAUUAGCUAGUUGGUGAGGUAAAGGCUUACCAAGGCGACGAUCUGUAGCGGGUCUGAGAGGAUGAUCCGCCACACUGGAACUGAGACACGGUCCAGACUCCUACGGGAGGCAGCAGUGGGGAAUUUUGGACAAUGGGCGCAAGCCUGAUCCAGCCAUGCCGCGUGAGUGAAGAAGGCCU
RNAcentral lists this ribosomal RNA (385 nucleotides) under uncultured bacterium. Its description in RNAcentral is "bacterial SSU rRNA". It matches the Rfam family "Bacterial small subunit ribosomal RNA", at positions 30 to 417 of the family's 1533-position model. The record is from RNAcentral.